RNAcentral lists this long non-coding RNA (1664 nucleotides) under Brassica napus (rape). Its description in RNAcentral is "long non-coding RNA (BNAP_LNC000390)". Lineage: Eukaryota; Viridiplantae; Streptophyta; Magnoliopsida; Brassicales; Brassicaceae. The record is from RNAcentral.
CUCGAGCUAGCUAAACGCCUCGCCGGAACCUUCAUCGGAUCUAGAGUCACCUUCGCAGCCCCAGUCGCCGCCUACAACCGUCGUAUGCUCUCCAAAGAAACCGUCCUCGAAAACCUUACCUUCGCCACUUACUCCGAUGGCCAUGACGACGGCUUCAGACCCUCUACAUCCUCCGAUAAAUCUCGCCAACAUAGCUCCCGACAGUACCUGUCCGAAAUGAGACAGCGUGGGAGAGAAACCCUAACCGAACUAAUCGAAGAUAACCGGCGUCAAAACCGGCCUUUUACCUGCGUGGUUUACACCAUCCUCCUCACUUGGGUCGCUGAGCUGGCGCGUGAGUUUCAGAUCCCUUCUGCUCUUCUCUGGGUCCAGCCCGUUACGGUCUUCUCCAUCUUCUACCACUACUUCAACGGCUACGCCGAUACAAUCUCAGAGAUGGCUGAUAACAACCCUUCUGGUACUAUUAAGCUUCCCUCUCUGCCACUGCUCCGUCUCCGUGAUCUUCCCUCCUUCAUCGUCCCUACAAACGCAUAUGCGUUUGUUCUACCGGCGUUUCGAGAACAGAUAGAGUCGCUGAAGCAAGAGGAAAACCCUAAGAUCCUUGUUAACAGCUUCCAAGAGCUUGAACAAGAAGCUCUAACCUCGGUUCUUGAUAACUUCAAGAUUGUCCCUAUCGGUCCGUUGAUAACCUCGAAGACCAACUCCGAGACUAACGCUGAGUACGUCGAGUGGUUGGAUACAAAAGCAGAUUCUUCCGUGCUUUAUAUCUCGUUUGGGACGCUUGCCGUGUUGAGCAAGAAACAGCUUGUGGAGCUCUGCAAGGCGUUGAUAGAGAGUCGGAGGCCGUUUCUGUGGGUGAUUACGGAUAAGUCGUACAGAAGAAGUAAAGAAGAUGUGGAAGAGAAAGAAGAAGAGAGCGUCGUAUGCUCUCCAAAGAAACCGUCCUCGAAAACCUUACCUUCGCCACUUACUCCGAUGGCCAUGACGACGGCUUCAGACCCUCUACAUCCUCCGAUAAAUCUCGCCAACAUAGCUCCCGACAGUACCUGUCCGAAAUGAGACAGCGUGGGAGAGAAACCCUAACCGAACUAAUCGAAGAUAACCGGCGUCAAAACCGGCCUUUUACCUGCGUGGUUUACACCAUCCUCCUCACUUGGGUCGCUGAGCUGGCGCGUGAGUUUCAGAUCCCUUCUGCUCUUCUCUGGGUCCAGCCCGUUACGGUCUUCUCCAUCUUCUACCACUACUUCAACGGCUACGCCGAUACAAUCUCAGAGAUGGCUGAUAACAACCCUUCUGGUACUAUUAAGCUUCCCUCUCUGCCACUGCUCCGUCUCCGUGAUCUUCCCUCCUUCAUCGUCCCUACAAACGCAUAUGCGUUUGUUCUACCGGCGUUUCGAGAACAGAUAGAGUCGCUGAAGCAAGAGGAAAACCCUAAGAUCCUUGUUAACAGCUUCCAAGAGCUUGAACAAGAAGCUCUAACCUCGGUUCUUGAUAACUUCAAGAUUGUCCCUAUCGGUCCGUUGAUAACCUCGAAGACCAACUCCGAGACUAACGCUGAGUACGUCGAGUGGUUGGAUACAAAAGCAGAUUCUUCCGUGCUUUAUAUCUCGUUUGGGACGCUUGCCGUGUUGAGCAAGAAACAGCUUGUGGAGCUCUGCAAGGCG